GUGCCAGCCGCCGCGGUAAUACGUAGGCAGCAAGCGUUGUUCGGAGUUACUGGGCGUAAAGGGUGUGUAGGCGGUUCUUUAAGUUUGGUGUGAAAUCUCCCGGCUCAACUGGGAGGGUGCGCCGAAAACUGAAGGGCUAGAGUGCGGGAGAGGAGAGUGGAAUUCCUGGUGUAGCGGUGAAAUGCGUAGAUAUCAGGAGGAACACCGGUGGUGUAAACGGCUCUCUGGACCGUAACUGACGCUGAGACACGAAAGCGUGGGUAGCAAACAGGAUUAGAUACCCCUGUAGUCC
RNAcentral lists this ribosomal RNA (292 nucleotides) under uncultured bacterium. RNAcentral's name for it is "partial 16S ribosomal RNA". It matches the Rfam family "Bacterial small subunit ribosomal RNA", at positions 505 to 796 of the family's 1533-position model. The record is from RNAcentral.